UAUUUCAGUAAAAGGAAAGAAGAUGUUUCCAUGGAACACUUGGAGGAGAUUCUACAUCUCUUUAUUGCAACUGACCAAAGCAAGCCAAUAAGGGCUGUUCAAUACAUUUUCUAUCAAAAGCUUCCACAUUAUUCUGUACCAGAAGUUCCACAAGCAGGAGAUGAAGGUGAGGAAACUGGACUAGAUACAUCAAGUAACCUUUUCAAGGCCUUGCUGAAGCAAGACUGUGUGUGCAUCUAUGGUGAUCCGCUGGAAGAAAGUUGACAGGAAAAAAAGGCAGAGGCACUGGUGUGUCUGCAAGGGGUGAAGAAGCAGCCAAUGCCUGCACCGUCGACACCGACACUAAUGACAACUGGCACCCUUUCAUUAGGGAAGGUUUGAUGUAAAAAAGAUUUGUUAGGAAACGGAAGCCAUUUGCUCUGUAGGCAGAUGCCCACUGAGCUCAGGGAACCAAGUAGCAUAGGACCAUCUGCUCCUUUCUGCAGGAGAGCUGAGCACAGGGCACAGGACAUCACGGCGAUGCUAACUCAGUGACGAAGCACAUCCCAGCUCCCUCUCCCAAAGCCUCCCUUGAGAAGCAGGUGUUCUGCUGCAGAAUAAUCAUCUUUGCCUGAUAGCAAAGAGGAGGAAUUUGAUUCUCCUGAGGAGAUAUGAGCAGGUAAAUGCUGCUCUCUUGCAAUUGCUUUAGACCACACAUCUCUACGUUUCAAAGCAAGGGUGCACAUGGAAGAUGCUCAGCUCAUUGUAUGCGCCUUCAUAGUUGAUGGCAAGCAGAAGCUCUCAAAGACAGGAUGAUGCACAGAACUGGACCACUAUUCUUUGCUUCCUGCAGAAAUACUUCAGCCUGGAUUUGCAAGUGGCACUGCUUUGGCUCCAACUCUCACCAUGUGUAACAGCAAAUUAUGGAAACAAACCAAAUGUCGGCCAGUGGAGGACUGGUUCAACUAUGAAAAUUCUUCAAUAGAGUACACAUAAAGACCGAGAAAGCUCUCUAU
Non-coding RNA from Manis javanica (Malayan pangolin), 995 nucleotides. NCBI's taxonomy places the organism in Eukaryota, Metazoa, Chordata, Mammalia, Pholidota, Manidae. The record is from RefSeq and is a predicted model, not a curated record.